RNAcentral lists this non-coding RNA (28 nucleotides) under Cricetulus griseus (Chinese hamster). Lineage: Eukaryota; Metazoa; Chordata; Mammalia; Rodentia; Cricetidae. The record is from RNAcentral.
GAUCUGAGUAGAGAUUGUUUGCAAUGGA